Varroa destructor (honeybee mite) is the source of this 1350-nucleotide long non-coding RNA. RefSeq lists it as uncharacterized. Lineage: Eukaryota; Metazoa; Arthropoda; Arachnida; Mesostigmata; Varroidae. The record is from RefSeq and is a predicted model, not a curated record.
GCUACGCUAAGCAACACCGUCUUGCGGUAAAACGAUUCGAUCGUUCAGCAUCAACUCCAUACAACAACUGCAUGCCGAAUCGUGCCUGAGCUUUAAUAUGGCCACAUAAAAUAUCUGGAUAAGUGGCUCGUACAACAGAAUUAAGGGAACGCUCGAUGACAGCCACAUCAAUAAGUAUCGUUCAAAGGACCGCGAUCGAAGACUCGAGACUUUUGCUGCCCCUUGUAAAAUCAGCUGCUUUUUCGCCCCGCUCCCCGGCUACCACCCCCAUGUCCUGCGCGGUUGAAGACGCUCCAUUCUGGAAAAGGUGAACAAGUCCGUCAAAAAGAAGAAUCACGAAAAAUUCUUACGAAGAUUUCGUCCACAAACGAGCAAGUCACAUGAAAGCGGGAACAGACCGAGCAUCAUGGACGAACUUUUCACCAUUAGAUAUUACCUCAAAGUUGUCUUGCUGGAGUUUUCUCUAACAACCUUUAAUACGUCGUGUUAACAGUACAUCGUAGUAACCAUUUGUCAAUGGUAGAAUUUUAAUUAAUUAUGGCCGCAUAUUCAUGGGUACCGUGAGCGCGCACUCAAAGAGAUGCCCCAGAGCAAGCCGUCUCUAGUAUGAACAAAUACGUUUCAUCACUGAACACUUUUAGAAUGAUUACUCAGUUGCAUCUUCCCGUCGACUCCGCCAGAAAAGCUUCGCGAAAUAGCAAACCCCAGCAACAAAAGACAUCAACUCACUAGGUACAUGAAUAACAUGGAAAUACUUCGUGUCUCAUGAAGUUGCCGCGCGACGACUCUGUAAAACCUGAAAAGAUCUGCCUCGGUUAACAGCUCUCAAGAUGCUGCGCGACACGGAAACCACAGUCUGAGAUGUGAAGAAAAAUACAGUCGUAGCCUCGUUGUAUUGUAUAAGGUUAAGUCUGAAAAACUGUUAGUUUAUCAACUGUCAAACCGUUAGGGCCUACUAGUGGGUAGAGCGCGGGCGUAAUCAAAUGUUUUGGGUGACUUUAGAUAGUGGUUGUAAGGCAACUUCAUUAUAACUGAUAUAUUAAUCAACAUCACCAGAGGCCGUAUCAGCAACAUAGGCUGCCGAGAGUGAUCCUCAUAGCUCAGACGGUGACGAACUCAAGGACCGUUCGAUGUUGCGAUUAUAUGAUCGGCCACUUACCAUCUCUUACCGCAGCAGCAGUGUUUCUGCUGCUCGUAGCAAUGACGGUGGCAGUGAAAUAGUGUCGUUUGAAACAGACGACUGGAUGGUAUUUAAGAUGGAUUGAGUUCGUUAACGAUCACAGUUCAGCUCCGUUGGAAUCGUAUUUUGAGUCAGCCCUAAAGCGUGUUAAUCAGUAAGCACUCUGUAUG